Molecule: ribosomal RNA, 1013 nt
Filed under: Pediococcus pentosaceus
Lineage: Bacteria; Bacillati; Bacillota; Bacilli; Lactobacillales; Lactobacillaceae
Description: bacterial SSU rRNA
Rfam family: Bacterial small subunit ribosomal RNA
Source: RNAcentral
UUUAGAGUUUGAAUCAUGCUCAGGAUGAACGCUGGCGGCGUGCCUAAUACAUGCAAGUCGAACGAACUUCCAGUUAAUUGAUUAUGACGUACUUGUACUGAUUGAGAUUUUAACACGAAGUGAGUGGCGAACGGGUGAGUAACACGUGGGUAACCUGCCCAGAAGUAGGGGAUAACACCUGGAAACAGAUGCUAAUACCGUAUAACAGAGAAAACCGCAUGGUUUUCUUUUAAAAGAUGGCUCUGCUAUCACUUCUGGAUGGACCCGCGGCGUAUUAGCUAGUUGGUGAGGUAAAGGCUCACCAAGGCAGUGAUACGUAGCCGACCUGAGAGGGUAAUCGGCCACAUUGGGACUGAGACACGGCCCAGACUCCUACGGGAGGCAGCAGUAGGGAAUCUUCCACAAUGGACGCAAGUCUGAUGGAGCAACGCCGCGUGAGUGAAGAAGGGUUUCGGCUCGUAAAGCUCUGUUGUUAAAGAAGAACGUGGGUAAGAGUAACUGUUUACCCAGUGACGGUAUUUAACCAGAAAGCCACGGCUAACUACGUGCCAGCAGCCGCGGUAAUACGUAGGUGGCAAGCGUUAUCCGGAUUUAUUGGGCGUAAAGCGAGCGCAGGCGGUCUUUUAAGUCUAAUGUGAAAGCCUUCGGCUCAACCGAAGAAGUGCAUUGGAAACUGGGAGACUUGAGUGCAGAAGAGGACAGUGGAACUCCAUGUGUAGCGGUGAAAUGCGUAGAUAUAUGGAAGAACACCAGUGGCGAAGGCGGCUGUCUGGUCUGCAACUGACGCUGAGGCUCGAAAGCAUGGGUAGCGAACAGGAUUAGAUACCCUGGUAGUCCAUGCCGUAAACGAUGAUUACUAAGUGUUGGAGGGUUUCCGCCCUUCAGUGCUGCAGCUAACGCAUUAAGUAAUCCGCCUGGGGAGUACGACCGCAAGGUUGAAACUCCAAAGAAUUGACGGGGGCCCGCACAAGCGGUGGAGCAUGUGGUUUAAUUCGAAGCUACGCGAAGAACCU